UUAGGGCAUCCAAGCAUUGAAA
This 22-nucleotide microRNA is filed under the name Microcaecilia unicolor. RNAcentral describes it as "Mun-Novel-3_3p (mature (guide))". Lineage: Eukaryota; Metazoa; Chordata; Amphibia; Gymnophiona; Siphonopidae. The record is from RNAcentral.